Molecule: ribosomal RNA, 440 nt
Filed under: uncultured bacterium
Lineage: Bacteria
Description: partial 16S ribosomal RNA
Rfam family: Bacterial small subunit ribosomal RNA
Source: RNAcentral
CCUACGGGAGGCAGCAGUAGGGAAUAUUGCUCAAUGGGGGAAACCCUGAAGCAGCAACGCCGCGUGGAGGAUGAAGGUUUUCGGAAUGUAAACCCCUUUUGUUAGAGAAGAAAAUGACGGUAUCUAACGAAUAAGCACCGGCUAACUACGUGCCAGCAGCCGCGGUAAUUCGGAGGGUGCAAGCGUUACUCGGAAUCACUGGGCGUAAAGAGCGCGUAGGCGGGAAAGCAAGUCAGAUGUGAAAACCUAUGGCUUAACCAUAGAACUGCAUUUGAAACUGGUAUUCUAGAGUGUGGGAGAGGUAGGUGGAAUUCUUGGUGUAGGGGUGAAAUGCGUAGAGAUCAAGAGGAAUACUCGUUGCGAAGGCGGCCUGCUGGAACAUAACUGACGCUGAGGCGCGAAAGCGUGGGGAGCAAACAGGAUUAGAUACCCCAGUAGUC